This is a long non-coding RNA of Entelurus aequoreus (snake pipefish), 1457 nucleotides long. RefSeq lists it as uncharacterized. NCBI's taxonomy places the organism in Eukaryota, Metazoa, Chordata, Actinopteri, Syngnathiformes, Syngnathidae. The record is from RefSeq and is a predicted model, not a curated record. The transcript has 7 exons.
UGUAGUACUGGGGAUGCCCAGUAGGGGGCGCAUGGUACUUUGAGCUAUAAGGACACCUGGCUUCGCCCUCUCAGGCAAGUGAGCCGGUAAAAUGCUCCAAUAUCUCCCUUUUUUCAGAUCCCGCGUCACGAGCCGUGUGUCUCGACUCCCCGUAUUCCCCUCUGGUUCCCCGGCUGCCUCGUGGAUCUCGACACGGACUCUGACGCCUCGCUCCUGCCCUUGACGUCACGCCUGCCCACGGACCUCCGAGCUUUCCUUGCCCCCUCUUGGACUUCCGCACCUCGCUCAACACUUCCGGGUUGACACGGUAUCCAUGGUAACAGGAUCCCAUCACACCUUAAAAUUCCAGUAUUCCGGACAUCUGUGUUGGUGAAUCUUCUGCAAUUUGUUUAAUGAACAAUGGAGACUGCAAAGAAGAAAGCUGUAGGUGGGAUCGGUGUAUUAGCGGUGGACUACAGCAACACAACCAGGAGGACUUUGAGAUGGAUAGCAGACGCGCUACCGCUGGCAGCUUACAAGCCACCGGCGGCGGUAAUGGAUGAGACGGCGGCGGAAGAUUGAAGAUGUCCGCCUCACCUCGGAGGGCAAAGCCAUCAGGGAAGUAGCAGAAGGACCUAGAAGGUGUCGUUGUGAGGGCAGAUGAAGACGUGGAAGCAGGCAGUCAAAGCUGCUUCAUCUCCACCGUGAAGUCACACGCUGACAUUGUUGGCAUCUUUUGGCUCACAAGAUCCUCUCCAAGGUCUUCAUAUCUCAACAUCCCAGCCCAGCGACAACAUCGCCCGCACACUUUGCUCAGGUCAUUUUUACACAACAAAAUCACUUUAACUUUCGGUGCAGAGAAACUUUCCUUGCAACUUUUGCUACUUCAUUGACCUCUGAUGUUGACCUUGACGCUGCAGCUACGUAUUGAUUAUUUAGUACGCAACACAAGCGGGGAAUCAGACUUCACACUCAGAAAAAGUGCAACGAAGUUCCUACAAGACGAGGGAUGGGUACCCAAUUUCAGAGGUACGGAACCAAGUACGGCCGACGACCCCCAAGUCCAGAUCGGGGUCGACAGUGAUGAUGAUGAUCAUUCCGCUACCUCCCAAGAAAGGAACUUCUUUUCAAAACAACAUUUUAUACUUUUUUGACACUAGACCAUACGAAAAAUAAUUAAUUUCCUGCAGCUGAUAAGAAGAGGGGAGAGUAUUAUUAAUACUAUUACUCUUCACGUUUAGUAACUACAAGAAGUGAAUGCAGUAACAGUUUGUAGCAAUAUAACAAUGUAUCAUAAUUAUUACACAAUAUGAGAAUGUGUGCUGUAUAAAUUAAUGAAUGAAUUAUUACAUUUAAUUAUAGCAAAUGUAUCACAGUAAAUAUGCAGGGAUUACCUAAACUGAUGUGUUGUGUUAAUUUAGCAAUACAAAGUGUAGUUGUUGAUUGUUUAAUUUCAUUUCUAAUGAAUUCAACACAAC